CCUACGGGUGGCAGCAGUGGGGAAUAUUGGACAAUGGGGGGAACCCUGAUCCAGCCAUGCCGCGUGUGUGAAGAAGGCCCUCGGGUUGUAAAGCACUUUCAGUGAGGAAGAACGCCUGGUGGUUAAUACCCAUCAGGAAAGACAUCACUCACAGAAGAAGCACCGGCUAACUCCGUGCCAGCAGCCGCGGUAAUACGGAGGGUGCGAGCGUUAAUCGGAAUUACUGGGCGUAAAGCGCGCGUAGGUGGCUUGAUAAGCCGGUUGUGAAAGCCCCGGGCUCAACCUGGGAACGGCAUCCGGAACUGUCAAGCUAGAGUGCAGGAGAGGAAGGUAGAAUUCCCGGUGUAGCGGUGAAAUGCGUAGAGAUCGGGAGGAAUACCAGUGGCGAAGGCGGCCUUCUGGACUGACACUGACACUGAGGUGCGAAAGCGUGGGUAGCAAACAGGAUUAGAUACCAGAGUAGUC
Molecule: ribosomal RNA, 465 nt
Filed under: Vreelandella stevensii
Lineage: Bacteria; Pseudomonadati; Pseudomonadota; Gammaproteobacteria; Oceanospirillales; Halomonadaceae
Description: partial 16S ribosomal RNA
Rfam family: Bacterial small subunit ribosomal RNA
Source: RNAcentral